CAAUAGCGUAUAUUAAAGUUGUUGCAGUUAGAACGCUCGUAGCCGGAUUUCGGGGCGGGCCGACCGGUCUGCCGAUGGGUACGCACUGGUCGGCGCGUCCUUCCUUCCGGAGACCGUGCCUACUCUUAACUGAGCGGGGGCGGGAGACGGAUCGUUUACUUUGAAAAAAUCAGAGUGUUUCAAGCAGGCAGCUCGCUCUUGCAUGGAUUAGCAUGGGAUAAUGAAAUAGGACUUUGGUGCUAUUUUGUUGGUUUCGAACACCGAAGUAAUGAUUAACAGGGACAGUCAGGGGCACUCGUAUUCCGCCGAGAGAGGUGAAAUUCUCAGACCAGCGGAAGACGAACUACUGCGAAAGCAUUUGCCAGGGAUGUUUUCACUGA
Molecule: ribosomal RNA, 380 nt
Filed under: uncultured eukaryote
Lineage: Eukaryota
Description: partial 18S ribosomal RNA
Rfam family: Eukaryotic small subunit ribosomal RNA
Source: RNAcentral